Molecule: ribosomal RNA, 255 nt
Filed under: uncultured bacterium
Lineage: Bacteria
Description: partial 16S ribosomal RNA
Rfam family: Bacterial small subunit ribosomal RNA
Source: RNAcentral
GACGAACUGCCCAAACGUUGUUCGGAAUCACUGGGCUUAAAGGGCGCGUAGGCGGCAGAUCAAGGUCAGGGGUGAAAUCCGGCAGCUCAACUGUCGAAGUGCCUUUGAUACUGAUUUGCUCGAGGGAUAUAGGGGUCUGUGGAACUUCUGGUGGAGCGGUGAAAUGCGUUGAUAUCAGAAGGAACGCCGGUGGCGAAAGCGACGGACUGGAUAUCUUCUGACGCUGAGGCGCGAAAGCUAGGGGGAGCAAACGGG